CACCGGCAGCUCAAGUGGUGGCCGUUUUUAUUGGGCCUAAAGCGUUCGUAGCCGGCCUGAUAAGUCUCUGGUGAAAUCCUGCAGCUUAACUGUGGGAAUUGCUGGAGAUACUAUUAGGCUUGAGGUCGGGAGAGGUUAGAGGUACUCCCAGGGUAGGGGUGAAAUCCUGUAAUCCUGGGAGGACCACCUGUGGCGAAGGCGUCUAACUGGAACGAACCUGACGGUGAGGAACGAAAGCCAGGGGCGCGAACCGG
RNAcentral lists this ribosomal RNA (254 nucleotides) under uncultured archaeon. RNAcentral's name for it is "partial 16S ribosomal RNA". It matches the Rfam family "Archaeal small subunit ribosomal RNA", at positions 474 to 727 of the family's 1478-position model. The record is from RNAcentral.